AUGAUCCAAUCCCUGGACGGUCUGCUAAACUGGCUGAGAAACAUCCUGAUUCUGACUCUCUGGCUAGAGUGUAAAGGAGAAGACAGAGUGACCCAGCCAGCAGGAGAUGUCAUUGCUGCUGAAGGAGACACAGUUACACUUGGCUGUACUUUUGAGACGAGUUACACAGGUCCAGCUUUGUUCUGGUACAAACAGGAUGGAAACAACAGCCCCAAAUUCAUGCUGAGUCGCAUGCAACAGAACGAUGUGAAAACAGAGGAUAAGUUUAAGGAGAGGUUUUCAUCAACAGUUGAUUCCACCUCAAGAUCAGUUCCUCUGAAGAUCCAGAAGCUUCAGCUGUCUGACUCUGCUGUGUACUACUGUGCUCUGCAGCCCACAGAGGUCCAGGACCAGAUUAGUGGGGUGGAGAAGCCUGAAGGAGAUGCUGCUGUCAUGUAG
Molecule: non-coding RNA, 438 nt
Organism: Micropterus salmoides (largemouth bass)
Lineage: Eukaryota; Metazoa; Chordata; Actinopteri; Centrarchiformes; Centrarchidae
Source: the annotation of a RefSeq genome assembly